Molecule: long non-coding RNA, 1391 nt
Organism: Sinocyclocheilus grahami
Lineage: Eukaryota; Metazoa; Chordata; Actinopteri; Cypriniformes; Cyprinidae
Exons: 3
Source: RefSeq, a predicted model, not a curated record
UGAACAACCAGCGUGACAAAACAUUUACACAUUCACGUUCAUUUUGGAGAAUACUGAACGCUUUUUUUUAGCGCCACUUACUGGACAGUGCGAUUUGAAAGAAACUUGCGAGAAGCAACGUAAUCGUUUUGUAUUAAUGUCAUCGCAGUCAUGUGUUUCUAGUGAGCCUGGAUUGAAAAAAACAAAACAAAAAACACACAGAUGAAUAUUGAUAUUAAUCAACGCCGUAUUUAACACAAAAGGAGAUCUAACGUUGUAUUUUCCACACAAGAGAAGUGUUUCCAAAGCAUUUUCGUGCGUUGAGUUUCUGCUGUUGCAUCGGUUGCGCUUCAGCUGCACAUCAACGCGGCAGGUCUCGGGUGAGCUGUUUCUUUUAAAGCUGCUAUCGCUGCAUUCACACGCUGUCCUGCGGUAGAGAUUGUACUGCCUAUCUGUUAGCGUUUGCUUUUCGGAGAUAUUUGACUCUUAAUACACCGUGCUGUAAUGUGUGUUGUGCUGAGGACAUCACGAAAGUUUCUACACCUGUGAUAUGACAUCUGACCCCUGCCCUUUGCCCCUGCAGUCUGAGACAGUGUAACACUGGAAUGCUUCUGGCUUAGGGUGACCCACGGCUCCAAGACUGCCACAAAGCACAACCUCUCCAAAAUCCACCCCUGAUGAAGACAAAGAUGAGGAGGAGGAAGAUGAUGGAGGAUUGAGAGAAAUCAGAAACCCUUUAUCAACCUGAGUGCCAUUCCUCAGCCUUACCCACAAUCCCCUUCUACUGACUCGACACUGAUUUUACAGUCAGAUGUCUCGCCAACAAUGAAAAACAAAUUAGGAAAGCCUUGAAAUAGCCCUGCAUGCUUGAUGAUGCAGUCCAGACAAUAAAAGGAAUUCAAAACGGAACUUCCACCAGAUAUUUCCAGACCACAUGGACUCUUUCUGUCUCUCUGACGGCCCUCCGGUUCUCGUACCAGAUGCUGUUUUAUUGUACUUCACAUUAGCCCAGCGUUUUAUAAAUGGUGGUUGGGAGGCUCUAGCCAGAUGGGGUGAAGAAAGACAACAGCAUUCAAAUUCUUUCAGAACAGCGUCUUGUGUAUAUUGUGUACAGGAUAUGACUACAGGCUUAUUCUUAGCAAUGUGAAGACACCAUGUUUGUACAUAGUUCACAAAUUGUACAUUUCCUGCAUUGUCUUUGUCGGUUACGCCGUUACAACAUUUAUUCAACAUUUUUAUCUGUACAGACGUAAAGGUUGACAUUGAUCUCAGAGUAUUUGUAUUCUGUACACAUCCAUUUAAACCAUAUAGACCCCCUCUAAAGACAACUCAAAUGUUAUUGCUUGUUAAGGAGACAUUUAUAGAGUGAUCUAGACCUAGUUAAACCCUAAUGCCGGAUUGAGUGACUACGC